This 274-nucleotide ribosomal RNA is filed under the name uncultured bacterium. RNAcentral describes it as "partial 16S ribosomal RNA". It matches the Rfam family "Bacterial small subunit ribosomal RNA", at positions 523 to 796 of the family's 1533-position model. The record is from RNAcentral.
AUACGGAGGGUGCAAGCGUUACUGGGAAUCACUGGGCGUAAAGCGCGCGCAGGCGGUCUUUUAAGUUGGAUGUGAAAGCCUACGGCUCAACCGUAGAACUGCAUCCAAAACUAUUAGACUAGAGUGUGGGAGAGGAAGAUGGAAUUAGUUGUGUAGGGGUAAAAUCCGUAGAGAUAACUAGGAAUACCAAAAGCGAAGGCAAUCUUCUGGAACACUACUGACGCUGAGGCGCGAAAGCGUGGGGAGCAAACAGGAUUAGAUACCCCAGUAGUCC